Molecule: ribosomal RNA, 492 nt
Filed under: uncultured bacterium
Lineage: Bacteria
Description: partial 16S ribosomal RNA
Rfam family: Bacterial small subunit ribosomal RNA
Source: RNAcentral
AGUGAACGCUGGCGGUAGGCCUAACACAUGCAAGUCGAACGGCAGCACAGUAAGAGCUUGCUCUUACGGGUGGCGAGUGGCGGACGGGUGAGGAAUACAUCGGAAUCUACUUUUUCGUGGGGGAUAACGUAGGGAAACUUACGCUAAUACCGCAUACGACCUACGGGUGAAAGCAGGGGAUCUUCGGACCUUGCGCGAUUGAAUGAGCCGAUGUCGGAUUAGCUAGUUGGCGGGGUAAAGGCCCACCAAGGCGACGAUCCGUAGCUGGCCUGAGAGGAUGAUCAGCCACACUGGAACUGAGACACGGUCCAGACUCCUACGGGAGGCAGCAGUGGGGAAUAUUGGACAAUGGGCGCAGGCCUGAUCCAGCCAUACCGCGUGGGUGAAGAAGGCCUUCGGGUUGUAAAGCCCUUUUGUUGGGAAAGAAAAGCAGCAGGUUAAUACCCCGCUGUUCUGACGGUACCCAAAGAAUAAGCACCGGCUAACUUCGUG